GACGAACGCUGGCGGCGUGCUUAACACAUGCAAGUCGAACGGAAAGGCCCUGCUUUUGUGGGGUGCUCGAGUGGCGAACGGGUGAGUUACACGUGAGUAACCUGCCCUUGACUUUGGGAUAACUUCAGGAAACUGGGGCUAAUACCGGAUAGGAGCUCCUGCUGCAUGGUGGGGGUUGGAAAGUUUCGGCGGUUGGGGAUGGACUCGCGGCUUAUCAGCUUGUUGGUGGGGUAGUGGCUUACCAAGGCUUUGACGGGUAGCCGGCCUGAGAGGGUGACCGGCCACAAUGGGACUGAGAUACGGACCAGACUCCUACGGGAGGCAGCAGUGGGGAAUAUUGCACAAUGGGCGGGAGCCUGAUGCAGCAACGCCGCGUGCGGGAUGACGGCCUUCGGGUUGUAAACCGCUUUCGCCUGUGACGAAGCGUGAGUGACGGUAAUGGGUAAAGAAGCACCGGCUAACUACGUG
Molecule: ribosomal RNA, 468 nt
Filed under: uncultured bacterium
Lineage: Bacteria
Description: partial 16S ribosomal RNA
Rfam family: Bacterial small subunit ribosomal RNA
Source: RNAcentral